GUGCAUUAACGAUAGGAGCGGCAUCCUUUUUUUGACUUUUCAACAAAAAAAGAUAGAGUGUAUAGCGUGUUAAAAU
Molecule: small RNA, 76 nt
Filed under: Pedobacter psychrophilus
Lineage: Bacteria; Pseudomonadati; Bacteroidota; Sphingobacteriia; Sphingobacteriales; Sphingobacteriaceae
Description: Pedobacter sp. CCM 8644 Flavo-1 RNA
Rfam family: Flavo-1 RNA
Source: Rfam by way of RNAcentral